Malus domestica (apple) is the source of this 4124-nucleotide non-coding RNA. Lineage: Eukaryota; Viridiplantae; Streptophyta; Magnoliopsida; Rosales; Rosaceae. The record is from RefSeq and is a predicted model, not a curated record.
AAUUAAAGAAAACCAUUACAGCUAGAUAGUUCAAAUGACAAAUACAACGCAAAACAAAAGAAAUAAAAAAUAGUGCCACUCUUAUUGCCGAAAAGGAUUAGGAUUUGUCAAACCUGAGGUAUCACUUCUUUAACUGAUUCGCUAACUACUUUCAGGGGAGAACCUAAAUGAGAAGGACCGAUCCUCUGUUUCAUAAUGCGAGGGGAUCCAGAUGAACUUCUUGGUGACAGUGGUGGUGCACUGCCUGCUGGAAACAUAGAAGGCAAAGUACUGCCUGCAGUGGCAUGUGGACUAGAAGAAUUUCCCUGAACAUUCAGGGGCCUACCUGCCUUUGCUUCAGUUAGCAGUUGUGUCACCUGCAACCAUAAAGUCGGGAAAAUGAAAAAAACUGUCAUGCAUCCGAAAAGAUGAAACAAUAUGUAGUAUGUAAAUCAUAGGUAUCCUAAUUAAAAAAUAUAUAUAUAUAAACUUUAGCAUUUCCAACAACUAAUUACAAAUCAAUGCCUCAUUGAGCUCGGAUUCGAUUUGAGGGCCAAAGGGGACACCUCAUUGAGCUGCAACAGCUCGGCGUCAAACGACGCCGCUUCCACCACGAUUCCCAUAGUCAUCGGACGCAUAUACAGAUCACGGAACCCUAGAUUCGGAAAUUCGAAUCCCCCCAAAGCUCUUUCCUUUCUAUUAUAAUAUUCGUUUCAAAUCAAUGCCUUUUUGCCCGAUUCGAAGAGAAAAAAAAAAGGUGAGAUUUGAAGUGGAAGAAACCUCAGAUCCUUGAGGAACUGGAGUGUUUGGCGAGAGAGAAAACGGGAGAGAAAGUGAGGGAAAAUGAGAGAAAAUCCUUCGGCGAUUGAUGCUCAGAAGAGAGAGAGAGAGAGAUUUGUAGAGAGAGAAUAGCCAUAGCAGCUCCAAAAUUUUACACAAGAGAAGAAGAGUCGAAGAAGGUGGAUACGUGUCAGUGUGACAUUGGCCCAAAACUGGAUCAUCUACGGCCAGCAUCAUUACUUUUUCCUGCAACUUAUUGCAACAAAGAAUAAAAAACUUCCACGUAGUUCUUUUUUAAAUUAAUUUACCAUUUUGUUCCAACAUCGUAUAAAGCUGUCAUUUUCCCUAGGGUUUUCUUUUUCCCUUGGAUUUUCUCGGGAAACAAACAGAAAAUAUGGAAGGAGAGGAGCUGCGUCGUUCCGAAGCAAACACGGUCGAUCUUCUGAAUCAAUUCGAACGUAUCUUGGAAUCCGAUCCCCAAAUUAAUGCCGUCGUCUUAUAUAUUGUUCUUUCCUCUUGAUUGAACCCAAAGAUGAAGUGGGAUUUCUUCACCCGUCCCAGUUUUCCAAGCUGAAUAAAGAGGCAGGCCAUUCCUCACCCUCAUCUGAUGACAACGGUGCUGCGCUCAGCUGCUGGCAACUCAGUUUUUUGGAAUAGGGAUCAUAAGUUGGGGAUUUCAACGCAAGUUCUUUUUCGGUUGUAUGAGGCUGCUAAGCAUGCGUUUAUGGCAGCAAGUAGACAAUAUAAGGCACUUAACAGCAGAUCAGAUGUAUCUGGGGAUGAGAAGUCUUUGUAUGUGUCAUUAUCUUUGGAUAAUAGUUUUGAAAGUGACGUCAUGAAGCAUAGCAGGGCACUUUUGUUGCUAAGUAGUGAUUUCGGCACUGCAUGGCAUUCCAGGUUUUCCCCCUUUUCAUUUUCGGUUCAGUAGUACUUUGUCCUCUCUCUUAUACUUGUUCUAACAUAAUUGUUUUAAAAUAGUAGCAGAUAUGCAUGUGAAGCAACGGUCCUUAGUAGUGUCAUGUUCUUUGGUUUCUUGAUAUGGAGAUUCAUCUAUCUUCCUCUAGAGUUUUUGAUGUGCAAUUAUUUACUAUAAUUAUAUAUCAAUAAUUUUGGAUCUUCUUGAUCUUGUCUGCUUUUCAAUUUAUGUCAUGACGCCUACUUGAUCUAGUAUAUGUGAUGCAGGAAGCUCGUUGUGUCACAGAAGCAUAAGCUCUCAGCAUUUUUGGAUAAACAACAUGUGUGGUUAAUUGUUUUGCCAUCUUUGUUCUCAUUUUUAUUCUUUCUAUGCAUGUUUUUGAUUGCAAUUUAACAACUGAUUGUAGAAACUUUUGUCUUUGUAUGUUGAUGCUUCUUAAUAGUGGUGGUGCCGUGCAUAUUCUUGGUUAAAUUAAUCGAGUACAUCCGUAAUUUGGAAUAGUUCUUUUCUAAAUUGGCAAGAAUUUUUUCAGUCGAGGAGAUUGUUGGAUACUUCUUCUAAUUGGAUCAAUGGAAGCGAUAGCCAUUGAUUGGUGGUAUCUUUUGGCAGGAUUACAAGGACUUUGUUGUGGAUGGGAUUUAAACAGAACCUUUCAACUUGAUUAACGAGGAGAACGAAGUAGGUUAUUUUAAUGCAGAUGGAAAGUAUAUUACAUAUGCCAUUAAAAAUGAAGUCAAGGUAAACAUGUUUAUCAUUUUUGGCAAUAAGCAUGAUUAUAAUUCUUGGGUAGUUAAUGCUAGAGUGUUUAUCGUACAAUUAGGUUCUUGGAGGUUACUGAUGAUUUGCUAUGCGUGUAGAGCAUAAAAUAUUAUUUUAUACCGAAGCUUUCAUCUCUCUAAUUAAAUUCAGUUGAAUUAAGUAAUUCAGUCGAUUACUUAAUUCAGUAAAAGAGACAACCAAAGAACAACGUGGAGGUGGAGUCAAAUACAUAAUCAUAGAAUCAGAAACUAAGAUUACCAUAUGUAUUUGAGAGCACAGCUGAUGGCCAUACACUAUUGAUCCCUCAAAUUUUUUGCCAUGAAGCAAAAUGUGGUGACUCGCUCAGACAGCUGACUCCUUUUCAAUAGAAGGGAAUAGCAAAACUAACCCAGCUGGGAAGUAACUUUCACCAAUCACUGUCUUGGCACUUUUACUUAAGUGAAUACAUUGUUGUUUAUUCUGGCCAUCUUUCCAAGAUCAAGCCCAUUGCUCAGUUGGAUAAAGUUUGCAUCCUCAGUUGUGCUGUAUCGACAGGUUUGGAUUUUUGGGUGCCGCUCUCAUGUAGCAAAACAAAAAAAUUUCUUCAGUUGCUGUUUAUUGGCCUUGCUUGAGCAAUUGGACACUGCCAACUUUUGAUAAUUAUGAUCACUGUCAACCUCUAUCUUAGGGCCAUACACUAUUGAUCCCUCAAAUUUUUGCCAUGAAGCAAAAUGUGGUGACUCACGCAGACAGCUAACUCCUUUUCAAUAGAAAGGAAUAGCCAAACUAACCCAGUUGGGAAAUAACGUUCACCAAUCACCGUCUUGGCACUUUUACUUAAGUGAAUACAUUGUUGUUCAUUAUGGCCGUCUUUCCAAGAUCAAGCCCCUUGCUCAGUUGGAUAAAGUUGGCAUCCUCAGUUGUGCCGUAUCGACAGGUUUGGAUUUUUGGGUGCCCCCCUCAUGUAGCAAAACGAAAAAUUAUCUUCAGUUGCUGUUUAUUGGCCUCGCUGUGCAAGAUUUCUGGGGCGCCACUGAGUAUUGGGGUGGAGUCGGGUGGACUUGAAUCCCAAGAGGUUUGACAAAGGUAGAUAUAAUUUUUUCCCAUUUUGAUUUACCAUGGUUUAACAGGUAGUUUAGUGAGAAAAUCUAGAAAUAGAAUUUUGCUUAUAACUUUUCUUUCCCUGGUGAUAACUAAGAAAUUCGGAGUAAAUUGACUUGUGAAUUCGAAUGACAAUGACAAAUCAGUGCACGAGAUGAAAAAUGAUUCACCAUUCUUAUUAUGCGUGGGACAUGAAUCAACAUAGAUAGUUAAGUAGUAACUUUGACUUUAUAUUUUUAUUUUCUUUCUACUUUUCAUCUACCCAAGUCUACAAUGCAUAUGCGACUAAGGAAAAGACCAAGACAUCAACCAGUGCAGAAGCUCCUGAUAGGACUAAUUGUAGACAGCUCUGAAACUACCUCUUCUAUUCAAACGUGGAGGAGAGAAACUCCACCACGUUUGAUGCAAAGCAGUUCGUCUCAAAUUGCAACUUCCUCGGUUUCUCAAAUCUCAACGAUCAAUCUGCAGUGUCCCUCAAGCGGUUUCUCUCAAACUCUUACAAUUUGCAUUGUGUUUCUCUCCCUACACUCUCAUCAACACUAUCACUGCUCUCUUAGAUGAGCACUACAAAUUUAAGCCUGAUGCUGCAAGAGAAAAAUCAUGGGCAAAG